CCGUCUUUUUCUGAGAUGCCCCUCUCCAACCGAUUCAGAGUUCCUUGUUUACUCUAUGCAGUCUGCUGCUACCUACUACCCUGACUGUCCCCUCCAUCCCCUCACUUUCCUUCACACUGUCCUUGGAGAUUUCGGAUUUGGAACAGACUUGCCGGUAUAAGCCAUCUGAUUCACAUUUGCUCCAAUUUCGCAGGACCUUCCAGCUCACUUGGCCCAGCUUCUCCCGCCCCCGAUCUGCACCAGAGACCAUCGUCAACAAGAGCAGCACUAGAGGAGGUGGAGUGAAUCAUCCAAGAGCUCAGGGCUAAAGAUAAAUCUUGCCGGGUCGUCCCUUCUGAAGUAUUGGAAUAUGACUCUGGGAGCCCUGAUACAACAAGUGAGGCGGGCCAGGCCCCAUCAGAUGUUCCAGGUCACUUGGACCGGCUUUUCCCUACCCAGCUUCUCAACAGAGACCGUCAUCCCCGGGGGUGGCUCUAGAAGAAUUGGAGCAAAUCAUUCAAGAGCUUAGUGCUAAAGAGGAAUUAUGCCAGGCCCUUCCUCCUAAUGUACUGGAUAAUUUCUCUGGAGGACCCUACCCGCCAAUCACAGUGGAGCUGGUCCAAACAGAACACUCCAGCUCAUUUGGACCACCUGCUCCUGCUUCAGCUCCGCAAUGGAUACCGUCGUCACUGGCAGAGGCACAAGAAGACUUGGAGCAAAUCAUUGAAAAGUUCAUCGCUAAAGAUGAAUCCAGUUGGGCCCUCCCUCCUGAUUUAUUGAAUAUUCUCUCUGAAGGAUCCUAUCCACCAAAUGCCGUUGGGCAGAACCCAUCAGCACUGUCGUCCGCCAGGACCUGCCCCGAAGCUCUCAUACCAAAUUUUCCUGCACCCAAUGCAUUCAUGAACAGCUACCCCAGCGGGGCGAUCCCGGGAACCAACCACAUCGUUCAGAUCAUUAAAAUCUUGCAGGAGAAGAAGAGCCGGCUUGACAGAUUCAGCGAGCAUCAACUCAGAAAAUUGUGGGCAUGGUUUGAAGUCACGCCAUAUCUGACGACUGAACAAGUUCAAUCCUUGUCUUUUCAGCUGGGUCUGACAACGCUGCCGGUUAGAAACUGGUUCCGGAAUCACAGGAAGAAAUACAAUCUGUGGAUUGCCCCAAGACUUCAGACGCCCGACCAACGCCCUUCCCUUCGUUCCUGGAAUACCAAGUCUGGAGCCGGAAGGAUGUGGAUGCAUUUUCCACCCCGCUGAUGACCAAUAUCGUUUCUGGAAGCAUCACCAUGUUAUCUGUACUCAACCAGUCCGGGAAGAUGCACUUACAAAAGGAUAUCAGUCCUCAGACUUGCAAGACUGUUCUCCAACCAGGAAGCAAUACCUCAUCUCAUCUUAUAUAAUUUUAGCCUUUUCAAAUUAAGUUGACCUGGGUCUCUAUUUCUUGUGUCCAUUCAUGAAAGCUCCUUUCUUCUGGUUUCUGUGAGGUUGGUUUAGAGUUAUGGGAGGAUUGUAUUCAUCGUGUUCAGGUUGGCCGUUGGCUGGCCAGAAACUGGCUAGGUGAAAAGUUAAUCGAGGAAGGUUUUCCUGAAGAGAAAGGUUUUCAAGGGUGCUUUGCAGUUGUGGAAGGAUCAUGUUGUUAUCUAGCUUGUUGCGCUAUGAAUGCAAAUAAGUCCCGAACUUCAAAAUUGACUUUUUCACCUUAGGAAUUUCCUAAUCUGCCAUGGGAGCAACUUGGGAGCAUGUGCAUGGACUAUACAGGUUCAGGUGAACGAAACCAGGCAGAAUAGCCACGGAUACUCGGGUCUUCAGUUCCUCUAAAUAAGAAAAGAACAUCUGAACCAGGAAUGCCCACAGUACACCAGGAAUGUCGUGAAACUCAAGGACUCACCACGUGUUGGCAGAGAGGGAAAAAGGGAGGUGUCAUUUUUGUUGAACAGGAGCAGUCAGGUGCAGUAGAGAUGCAGCAUGACAUAGUGGAUAGAGAGAGCAUGGCCUUGGGAAUCAGAAGACGUGGGUUCUAAAUCCAGAUCUGCCAAUUUUCUUCUGUGUGUGACCUUAGGCAAGUCACUUCACUUCUCUGUGAGUCAGUUACGUCGCGCGAAAUGGAGAUGCAGACUGUGAGGGCCACAUGGAACAGGGACUUUGUCCAACCAGAUUUGCUUCUAUACAACCCAGCACUUAGUAUAGUUCCUGGCACAUAGUAAGCACUUAACAAAUGCUAUUACUACUAUUGUUAUUAGUAGUAGCAAAUGGCGUGGCUCAGUGGAAAGAGCACGGGCUUUGGAGUCAGAGGUCAUGGGUUCGAAUCCCGGAUCGGCCACUUGUCAGCUGUGUGACUUUGGGCAAGUCACUUAACUUCUCGGUGCCUCAAUUACCUCAUCUGUAAAAUGGGGAUUAAGACUGUGAGCCCCACGUGGGACAACCUGAUUCCCCUGUGUCUACCCCAGCGCUUAGAACAGUGCUUGGCACAUAGUAAGCGCUUAACAAAUACCAACAUUAUUAUUAUUAUUAUAAUUACUACUACUGUUAUAAUUAUUAUUAGUAGUAGUAUUACAUAAUGGUCCACAAGCUGAAACAGUCAGUCGAGGAGAUGGCAAGGGAAAGGAAGAGAGAAAGAAAGUGAAAAAAAGGAAAGGAUGGGAGAAGGAAAAGAAGGAAGAAAAAAAGAAAAAACGAAGAAAGAAUAAAAGGAUUUAAACCUCUAUUACUAAUUUGAUCUCGAGUCUCCUGACUUAUCAUAACCUUUCAAUGUACUCACUGACGUCUUUCCCACAACCCAAUUUUCCCAUUAGCAGGCUGAUGCAGUUCUAAAGAUAGGACAUAUAAACAGGGGUUGUAUUGGCAUGGUGGCAAUUUGCUGGAGAAGAAAUCAAGGAUUUUCUCAGUAUUGUGAAGGUUUACCCUCCAGGGUUCCGAGAUAAAAUCAACAAGUGGAUUGAAUGAGGCAGCUGAGCCAAGAAUAGACAAAAUAAGACAAGAUCAGAGGCUAGAGGGAAAUAAGAUGUUGAUGCAUUUGAGGUGACCAUCGUGCCUAAACAGGGGUGUUGAAUUGUGCCAAAGGGUCCCACUCAUUACUGGUGUGUGGAUAUUCGCCUUUGGCUUGAUGAGUAGACUACUGUGUCAGCCUUCUCUCUGACCUCCCUUCCUCCUCUCCCGCCCCGCUCCAGUCUAUUCUUCACUCCGCUGCCCGGCUCAUCUUCCUGCAGAAACGAUCUGGGCAUGUCACUCCCCUUCUUAAACAACUCCAGUGGUUGCCUAGCAACCUCCGCUCCAAACAAAAACUCCUCACUCUAGGCUUCAGGGCUCUCCAUCA
Molecule: long non-coding RNA, 3285 nt
Filed under: Ornithorhynchus anatinus (platypus)
Lineage: Eukaryota; Metazoa; Chordata; Mammalia; Monotremata; Ornithorhynchidae
Description: lncRNA (ENSOANG00000037010.1)
Source: RNAcentral